GUAGGGAAUCUUCCACAAUGGGCGAAAGCCUGAUGGAGCAACGCCGCGUGUGUGAUGAAGGCUUUCGGGUCGUAAAGCACUGUUGUAUGGGAAGAACAGCUAGAAUAGGGAAUGAUUUUAGUUUGACGGUACCAUACCAGAAAGGGACGGCUAAAUACGUGCCAGCAGCCGCGGUAAUACGUAUGUCCCGAGCGUUAUCCGGAUUUAUUGGGCGUAAAGCGAGCGCAGACGGUUGAUUAAGUCUGAUGUGAAAGCCCGGAGCUCAACUCCGGAAUGGCAUUGGAAACUGGUUAACUUGAGUGCAGUAGAGGUAAGUGGAACUCCAUGUGUAGCGGUGGAAUGCGUAGAUAUAUGGAAGAACACCAGUGGCGAAGGCGGCUUACUGGACUGUAACUGACGUUGAGGCUCGAAAGUGUGGGUAGCAAACAGGAUUAGAUACCCCUGUAGUCC
Molecule: ribosomal RNA, 450 nt
Filed under: uncultured bacterium
Lineage: Bacteria
Description: partial 16S ribosomal RNA
Rfam family: Bacterial small subunit ribosomal RNA
Source: RNAcentral